GGCAAUCUUGUUAAACUGCAGAUUUCGAUUUAGCCUGGUGAGAGUGAGGCCUGAGAUUCUGCAUUUUUAACAAGCUC
RNAcentral lists this microRNA precursor (77 nucleotides) under Myotis lucifugus (little brown bat). RNAcentral's name for it is "miRNA (ENSMLUG00000022039.2)". Lineage: Eukaryota; Metazoa; Chordata; Mammalia; Chiroptera; Vespertilionidae. The record is from RNAcentral.